UCUUCAAGAGUUGAUCAUUCCCAUGCCCUGGACAUCACUGUGCAUGAGCUGAUCUUAGAAUUUGGUUGUAUAAGUCUCCUCUGAAAUGCCACAAUGGAAGAUACUAAGUCUGCAGGAAAUUCCACACCACUAAAUCUGGACAGACAAGGUAAUUUAGCUCUCUGUAGGCUGAAAAGAAAAGGAGACCUCUGCACCAAGAUUGAGUGCUAUUUCCAGGAGGAGGAAGGCCACUGCUCAGUUCCACCUGGUGUCCCCAGGCUUUGGCAAGCAGGUGUUCAGCCAUAAUUGUCAUGCAUACCCAUAUGUAGUCCACUGGUGUGCACUCUGCUCUCCUCUCUCUGACAGCAGGCCUAUUAGGUGCUGAGCCUCAUUCUCCUCCAGGAUGGAUGCAGGCCAGCCCACCUUCCCCAACAUUCUACUCAAGACAAACCUCUGAAGCAGAUGUUUAUCAUGAUCUGCAUUUGUAUAUAUGUUGGAGGAAGCAUGCUGUGGAGGAUGGGGGUCUUGCAGUUGUUGCAGCUUGGGCAAGGCCAUUUUGGAGACCAGCUGUGGGAGGUGCAUACAUUCCAGCUGUGUUGUCACCUGUGUUGUCAUGCCUCCAGGUGCAGGUCAGGGGGAGGUUAGAGGCAAGAGUCUCUUGGAUAUUCCUGAUCCCUACUCGUAGUAAAGAUUUAAACUGAUAUGCUGAAUCUCCAAAAUAAUUUGGCUGUGUGAAUUGCCCAUGGUCUUUGCCUUGAUUCCCCCCCCCCCCGCCCGCCCCUUCUCUGGCAUUUUCUCUUUCUAAUCACAAUGUAAGAACCAUUUAGCUGCUGAUUCUCGCCCUGUCUCCUCUUUUCCACAGCAUUAGCCAGCUGGCCCUGGAGAUUCCACAGGGAAGAAAGUGCAGCCCAGGUCUGAAUGAACCUCUUGCUGGCUUUGAGGGACCAUGAUCACAUGAGAAUUCUGACUGUUACUACAAGAGAAAAUAAGCAUCAGACUGAUCCCAGACAUACCAUUAUAAUCUUUACCAGGUCUAGGGUAGGUCUUUUUUAACCUCCAAAAGGGGUAUCCAAUUUUCACUCUUUUGAGAUCUUCCUGUUCUUUUCAGCCUUCCCCUAACACACAUCCUCUUCUACCAACACAGCUUACUUUGCAAAUUCUGAAGUUCUGGUGAAGGCAGGCUUCCUACUGCUUUGGAAUUGGAGUUGACUAUGCUCAAAAUCAUAUAUGAAACAAGAGGAACUGAAAGAACAUAGAACUGUAAAACUGGACUUCAGUACCGAGCUCUGAAAUUGGAGCAAGUUCCCUAACUUCUCUCAGCCCCAGGCCCAUCACACAUAAUUCUUCUACCACUGAGGUAUGGGGAAGACUAUAGAGAUCAUGUUCAUGAGACAUCUCCCAUGGUGCCUGACACCUACAAGAACUCCACUUAAGGAUAGUAGGAUUGAAUAGAGUUGUGUUAAAGAAUGAGCUGAGGGAAUAUGUUGGGGUAUGGGGGGCCAAUAAGAAACACUAAAAUGAUAGAACAAAAGACAAAUUUUCUGCCAAAAAAAAAAAAAAUGGACUGGCUUUUCUGGGUAAAGUGUAGUUUUUCUCAGUCAGCAAGGCAUAUAGCUGCAGUAACAACUUCUUCCACUGUAUGAACUACUCAGUUCAAAAUGUAGCUUAGAAUUGCAGUGCAAAUGGAAAAUAUAUAGUGAAAUGGUUUUCUUUAUUUUAUACUAAUAAAGGUUUUAGAAGGUAUAGCCAGCAGAAAACACGAACACAAUUGCAUUUUUUUGUUGUUGUUGUUGUUAUCAGAGACAACCCAUGAUAAUAUCCUGAUAUUUUCCCCUCUACAGUGCUGAGAACCCAGGACAUUGUGCAUUCUAGACAAGUACUCUACCACUGAGCUAUACCCCCAGCCCUGCCAUCCUGAUUUCUUUGCUUAAGUUUCCUCUGACCACUCUACAGAGUUCUCUAUGACCCAGAUCUUGCCCCCGGAAGACAUUUCACUUCAUUCCUUCAUAGAAUAUGUCAUAUAAUCAUUUGUCCUCCUGCCCCAUUCUACAGGCAUCCACCUCAUGCAUUCAUUCUUUCUGUCUUUCCCCCAAAUACUUGUCAAGAUUAUGUUUUAUAUUUUUAAGUAAUGUAUUUCAACAUGCAUGAUUUCAAAUUAGGAAUUAUAUGCUUUCCUUUAAGUAAGAAUUUCUCAAUAGAACUAAUUAUACAAUUAUGUCUGCUUUGUAAAAGAGAAAUCAUAAAGAAAUGAGAUCAUAUUUCUAGGGAAAUAACAAGUCAAAAUUCACAUGCAUGCAAUUCUACUUUGAUUUGCUUGGCGUAUGACCAACUGUGGUUCAAAAACAUUCUUGCUUAUUCUUAAACCAGUGUUUUAUUGUUUUCAAAUAAAUAAAACAAAGGGAAAGUUGAUUUAACUAUGGGGGAAAUUAUUUAAGCAAGUGGAAAUGGAAUGAGAAAAGCAAGUAGAACUAAAACACAGCAAAUCUUAUUUCAAAGUUCUGAUGUGCACCAAACAUCAAUAUUUUUCCAUUGCACAAAUAUGUUUGUGAUGCUGAAAUUUCCUUCUUGGUUAAUGAUGUUUAAGUGAAACAAAUAAAGUAUUGCUGCCAUCAUCAUCUGACAUUGCUGA
RNAcentral lists this long non-coding RNA (2608 nucleotides) under Marmota monax (woodchuck). The record is from RNAcentral. Lineage: Eukaryota; Metazoa; Chordata; Mammalia; Rodentia; Sciuridae.